UCCGUUGUUCCACGAGUUUGUGCUUAUUAAGAGUCGCUCUAUCCCGCAGUCUCGUCUUGGCCGUGUGGAUAACCGUUAUGGUUGUCCUUUCACAUCCCGCCAGGAUACUGCUCGUAAUGACGGGCCUUUUCGUGGUGGCCCCGCUGCGGGUGGGGCUGAGCAAGUCUGUUUUGCCUUCAAUAACGGAAACUGCAGAUAUGCCAUCUGUCCAGCCGGAAGAAGACACAUCUGUCUCAUUUGGGAUGAGCAACGCCAUGGGAAAUUUAAUUGCCCAAGGCGCCGUGCCCCUAAACCCACCAAUCCCAUUGGUGCCUCAGACGCCGUUGCGCCGUGAGAUCUUCUUUUGCAUCUCGCUGCGUCCCGGCUGGUAGAUUAUUCACUCGUCGAAUUAUUAAUCUCCUCCCACUUUGUUCGCCUACUGGUAACAUUCAACUAAACGCCGAUUUCACGGGUGAUCUUGAUUGGUGGCGCAUGUAUUUGCCAAAAUGGAAUGGCACGACAUCGUUUCUCUGUACUGACUGGAUAUCGGCGGAUGUUAUAAAUUUAUACACUGAUGCAUCAGCGUCUAUUGGUUUUGGGGCAUUCUUUAAUGGUCGAUGGUUCUGUGCACGUUGGCCUCAACGUAUUCUCACUAAUACACUUUGUAUUCAAGUUUUGGAAUUGUUUCCUAUUUUACUCGCUUGUGUUAUAUGGGGAUCGUGUUUUCAUUGCCGCUUUUGGCACCAUGCGCCGCCGUAGAACCCGAUCCCAUUCCCAACAUGUACGACGAAACUGAAUUGAUUCUCCAUACAAAAAGAAUACGGUCAUACCCGUUACGGGAGGCAGACUGCACCGCAUCAUUAAGGGGAUCCCUAUGAGAUGAAAAAAGUAUUGCAGUAUAAAAUCCAGCCUUGAACGCACCCGGAACACCACGUGUUCGACCGCCAAAUCUGACGAACUGAAAUCCACAAACGAUUCCGUGCUAAUAUUUUCUCCAAAUAGCUGAUAGCGGAGGGAAAUGCGGAUUCUGGGAUACGACUGACGUUCCGAAUAGCUGGUCGAAAUUUGAUACAAAAGCCACCGUCAUGCGUAUUGCAAAGAGAUGCUCGCUAUCCUUGCAAGGGCCAAGCUGAUAGUAGCCAACGCCAUCAGCAAGACGAAUGAAAUCGGGAGUCUCAUUGUCUUUAGGAUUGUUAAUUCC
This is a long non-coding RNA of Paramacrobiotus metropolitanus, 1180 nucleotides long. RefSeq lists it as uncharacterized. The transcript has 4 exons. Lineage: Eukaryota; Metazoa; Tardigrada; Eutardigrada; Parachela; Macrobiotidae. The record is from RefSeq and is a predicted model, not a curated record.